This 391-nucleotide unclassified non-coding RNA is filed under the name soil metagenome. RNAcentral's name for it is "partial contains 5.8S ribosomal RNA, internal transcribed spacer 2, and large subunit ribosomal RNA". The stretch from base 1 to 122 matches the Rfam family "5.8S ribosomal RNA", at positions 35 to 154 of the family's 154-position model. The record is from RNAcentral.
GAUGAAGAACGUAGCGAAAUGUGAUACUUGGUGUGAAUUGCAGAAUCCCGUGAACCAUCGAGUCUUUGAACGCAAGUUGCGCCCGAAGCCAUUAGGCCGAGGGCACGCCUGCCUGGGCGUCACACGUCGUUGCCCCCCCAUCUACUCCUUCGGGAUUGCGGGGGGCGGAUGAUGGCCUCCCGUGCGCCUCGUCGCGCGGUUGGCCUAAAUGCCAAGUCCUCGGCGACGCACGCCACGACAAUCGGUGGUUGCGAAACCUCGGUUGCCUGUCGUGUGCGGUCGUCGCGCAUCGAGGGCUCGAAAAAAUUGCCGGGCUUCGGCUCGACUUUCAACGCGACCCCAGGUCAGGCGGGGUUACCCGCUGAAUUUAAGCAUAUCAAUAAGCGGAGGA